Molecule: long non-coding RNA, 678 nt
Filed under: Androctonus crassicauda
Lineage: Eukaryota; Metazoa; Arthropoda; Arachnida; Scorpiones; Buthidae
Source: RNAcentral
GACAGCUUGGCUCAAGCCAGAUAACUAAUCAUUACUGAACAACUACACAGGGGAUAAAUCAAGGUAAUUCAAACAUAUAAGAUAAACAGCACUAACUCUCUGGCUUGAGCCAAGCCUGUCUGCCUGGAUGGUGCCAAUGGGGCCUGUGGCUGGAUCUGGCCCGUUUGGGAGCGUUGCAACGGGUCGGGUCCGAUAGUUCGAAGUUGGACGCAUUCCGGAGUUGGAAAUUUGCCGGUGUUUUGGCGGUCUAACUGGUAAGGCUGUGAAAACUGGGAAACUUCCCAUGGUUUCACUUCCAGUCCAACCCCGUGUUUCCUUUUAUCUAUUGGCGCUUAUCUUAAUGUUUAUGGUUAGUUCGUUCGUGUCCAGCCAACGCAUAAUUGCAUCACAACACUGCUCCAUAACUAUGUUUUAUUCACCAAGGAAAAAAAUAUACAAUUUUAAACUUACUCAUAAAAUAAAUCUCGCCUAUUUUCACAGAGAAAUACUUUAAACAAAAUUUGAGGAAUUUGAGAAAUAAUGAGGAGGAGGAACAAGGAGUACUUAGUGAAUGACAGGCUGACAUGGGAACCCCCCGCCUCUUGGAGGCACGUUAUAGCGAAGACAGAGAAGAAAUAGAGAUCGAUAAUUUAAUUUUACAGGAAAGGGGAAAUCCAGGAUGAAGUCUUGGUUAAGGAC